This 382-nucleotide ribosomal RNA is filed under the name uncultured bacterium. RNAcentral's name for it is "bacterial SSU rRNA". It matches the Rfam family "Bacterial small subunit ribosomal RNA", at positions 30 to 416 of the family's 1533-position model. The record is from RNAcentral.
AUUGAACGCUGGCGGAAUGCUUUACACAUGCAAGUCGAACGGUAGAGGGGGCAACCCCUUGAGAGUGGCGAACGGGUGAGUAAUAUAUCGGAACGUGCCCAGUCGUGGGGAUAACGUAGCGAAAGUUACGCUAAUACCGCAUACGAUCUAAGGAUGAAAGCGGGGGGAUCGCAAGACCUCGCGCGAUUGGAGCGGCCGAUAUCAGAUUAGGUAGUUGGUGGGGUAAAGGCUCACCAAGCCAACGAUCUGUAGCUGGUCUGAGAGGACGACCAGCCACACUGGGACUGAGACACGGCCCAGACUCCUACGGGAGGCAGCAGUGGGGAAUUUUGGACAAUGGGCGCAAGCCUGAUCCAGCAAUGCCGCGUGCAGGAUGAAGGCC